AACGCACAUUGCGCCCCUCGGUAUUCCGAGGGGCAUGCCUGUUCGAGCGUCAUUACAACCCUCAAGCUCUGCUUGGUCUUGGGCUCCACCGCUAACCCGGCGGGCCUUAAAAUCAGUGGCGGUGCCAUCAGGUCCUGAGCGUAGUAAAUCUCCUCGCUAUAGGAUCCUGGUGGACGCUAGCCAGCAACCCUAUUUUCUAUGGUUGACCUCGGAUCAGGUAGGGAUACCCGCUGAACUUAA
Molecule: unclassified non-coding RNA, 240 nt
Filed under: uncultured fungus
Lineage: Eukaryota; Fungi
Description: sequence contains ITS2
Rfam family: 5.8S ribosomal RNA (bases 1-52)
Source: RNAcentral